This 607-nucleotide long non-coding RNA is filed under the name Calidris pugnax (ruff). RNAcentral's name for it is "lncRNA (ENSCPUG00000014960.1)". Lineage: Eukaryota; Metazoa; Chordata; Aves; Charadriiformes; Scolopacidae. The record is from RNAcentral.
CUUUUUUUUUCUCCACUCCUUGUUACAUGCUUCCCUCUCUCUACACAGAAAGCAAUCGCAGAUAAGCAGAUUAAUAUGUGGGAUAGCUCCUCUUCAUUGUUCUGAGCAGCACUUCCAGCUUUUCAUAGCCAGUUGGACUUGUUAGGAGGAGCUAAAUGAUUGGUUGUUUCCUGGGCUCCGUUUCAUAAAUUAUAGCCCAGCAUGCACGAGCAUGAUUCCUACAGUUGCAGUAAUCCAGAGGCCUGUCAGUUCCUGACUUUAUGCAUGUUUAUUCCUACUUGUUUUAUAAUAUUGCACUGGAAUUUCCUGUCUUAGAUAGUUUGCUAUUGCAUCUUCAGGACUCUGUUGGACUUUGCAUAGCUGUGUUGUGAACCGGGGGAAGACAGGAUAAAUUUCUACAUACUGUCCUUGCUUCUUCAGUUGCUGCCUUCUGUUGUGUUAGAAUUUUACCCGAUGCAAGCCAUAUCCUUCUGCCUGGGCCAAGACAAACUCCUCAGCUGUUAGGUGGUGAAGUUAAGUUAUUGUCCUUGGUAAGUAUGUGUUGCUUUCCAGAGGAAAAUUUUAAUUUGUUCCUGUUGGUAUCCUGGUACAAAGUUAGAGUUUUUAG